GAAGAACGCUGGCGGCGUGCCUAAUACAUGCAAGUCGAACGAACAGAUGAGGAGCUUGCUCCUCUGACGUUAGCGGCGGACGGGUGAGUAACACGUGGAUAACCUACCUAUAAGACUGGGAUAACUUCGGGAAACCGGAGCUAAUACCGGAUAAUAUAUUGAACCGCAUGGUUCAAUAGUGAAAGACGGUUUUGCUGUCACUUAUAGAUGGAUCCGCGCCGCAUUAGCUAGUUGGUAAGGUAACGGCUUACCAAGGCAACGAUGCGUAGCCGACCUGAGAGGGUGAUCGGCCACACUGGAACUGAGACACGGUCCAGACUCCUACGGGAGGCAGCAGUAGGGAAUCUUCCGCAAUGGGCGAAAGCCUGACGGAGCAACGCCGCGUGAGUGAUGAAGGUCUUCGGAUCGUAAAACUCUGUUAUUGGGGAAGAACAAAUGUGUAAGUAACUAUGCACGUCUUGACGGUACCUAAUCAGAAAGCCACGGCUAACUACGUG
This 497-nucleotide ribosomal RNA is filed under the name uncultured bacterium. Its description in RNAcentral is "partial 16S ribosomal RNA". It matches the Rfam family "Bacterial small subunit ribosomal RNA", at positions 28 to 507 of the family's 1533-position model. The record is from RNAcentral.